Pecten maximus is the source of this 495-nucleotide long non-coding RNA. RefSeq lists it as uncharacterized. Lineage: Eukaryota; Metazoa; Mollusca; Bivalvia; Pectinida; Pectinidae. The record is from RefSeq and is a predicted model, not a curated record. The transcript is spliced from 5 exons.
CAGGUUUCCCUAACUAUGUGUUAGUCGGGUGUACCUUGCCUAAUUCUGCUGAAGUCUCAUGGAGUGACGGAGGGGACUCCGAGUAUUACCAAGUUAUGUUCAGCACCGACAGGUUUCUCAACUCACAAGAAGUUUAUCCGGUGACGACUUCAAAAUAUACAGACGGAAAUGACGUGUAUAGUCUAAAAAUAGACAAUCUGGAUGGAGGUCAUGUUUACUUUUUUAAAGUUGUGGCGUACAAUCAGUACGGAAACACAACAUCGGCUGAAGCUGUGGGCUGUACUGUUCAGGAAGUACAUGGUACCGACAGCAUGUUUGUGGCAGGGGUAGUCCUCGCUGUUAUUGCUGUAGUCAUGGUUUUGUUCACGGUUGGACUCGGGGUAUUUAUCAGACGAAAUGGACGACUGCCUCUCGUGAAAGGAUGCCGUAAACAGGAAGAGAUAAAGAAUGUUCAAUUUUUAAAACGAGAUGGAACUCAUGAAAAGGAUGACGAGC